Molecule: ribosomal RNA, 253 nt
Filed under: uncultured bacterium
Lineage: Bacteria
Description: partial 16S ribosomal RNA
Rfam family: Bacterial small subunit ribosomal RNA
Source: RNAcentral
UACGAAGGGGGCUAGCGUUGUUCGGAAUUACUGGGCGUAAAGGGCGCGUAGGCGGUGUGUCAAGUCAGGCGUGAAAGCCCCGGGCUCAACCUGGGAACAGCGCUUGAGACUGGCACGCUCGAGUUCGGGAGAGGAUGGCGGAAUUCCCAGUGUAGAGGUGAAAUUCGUAGAUAUUGGGAAGAACACCGAUGGCGAAGGCAGCCAUCUGGACCGACACUGACGCUGAGGCGCGAAAGCGUGGGGAGCAAACAGG